This 1783-nucleotide unclassified non-coding RNA is filed under the name Leishmania donovani. RNAcentral describes it as "gene:LdHU3.01.0460(CDS-product:ribosomal_protein_ S7_putative)". The record is from RNAcentral. Lineage: Eukaryota; Euglenozoa; Kinetoplastea; Trypanosomatida; Trypanosomatidae.
CUCAUACACGCACCCAAGUAGGACACCAUGCAGCCUUACCUCCGCAAGCUCCGUAAGCUGAAGCGCGGCAAGCCCAGCGACCUCGAGGAGAGCGUCGCGAAGGCGCUGUUCGAGCUCGAGACGUCGCACAAGACCCUACGUCAGGAGCUGCCGCGCUUCCACGUCAACACCGUGCGCGAGGUCAAGGUGCCGCGCUCGAAGAAGACGGUGCUGGUCGUCUUCUACCCCCUGCGCUUCCUGAUGCUGGUGCGCAAGGUCCAGCGUGCGCUCACCUCUGAGCUGGAGAAGCGCCACCCGGGCUACCUGGUGAUGCUGGUUGCGCAGCGCAAGAUCACGAAGCGCCCGACGGACGUGUACAAGCUGCAGAAGGUGCAGCGCUCGAAGACGAGCACGGCGGUGUUCGAGAAUAUUCUGAACGACAUGAUCUACCCGAGCGACGUGGUGGGCCGCCGCUGGCGCUGCCGCACGGACGGGAGCAAGCUGAUGAAGGUGUUCCUGGACGCCCGCGACCGCAAGCGCGUCGAGUCCCGCCUUCGCGCUGUGGCGUACGUGUACAAGCAGCUGACGCACCGCCGCGUGUCGUUCGGCUUCAUGUGGAACCCGAAGCUGCAGCAGGUGUCGACCCGGUAGGCGGUGGCAGAGGAAGCGAGCGUGUGCGUGUGCACGGGUGCGCGAUUUGUUUUGCCUUCCUUCUGCCCCGUUCUCUGGCUCGUCAACAUGCCGAUCACCUGCCGCCAGCCCGCGGCACCCUUCACUGCCGGCGGCUGCAUGAGCACGUGCUUUUUGUUUUCGGCGAGGAGUGCGAGCAGCGCAUCCGUCGUGUCUGCUCCGUCCCUCAUCGCCUUCGCGCCUUUCUCUCUUUCCGCCCUUUCGUGGUGCCACCUGCCCGCGUGCGCGUGCACGCAUACCCGUGACACGCCGGCGUGUCUGUGUGUGUGUGUGUGUGUGAGGCCUGGGGAGGGGCAGGGACGGAGACGACAGCGAGGGAGGCAGAGAGAAAGGCGUGUGGUGGGAUGAAGAUGAUGAUAAUGGGGGGAGGAGGAAGCAGACGGGUGCUGCACACCCCCACACGCACACGCACACACGCACGCUCGCAUCUUUUCGUUUUGUUUCUGUGACGUUUUACUUUCAUCAUUUUCACGCAACCACGCAACAACAGCAGCAGCCAUGCGGGGGAGGAGGCGACGACGAGCGCUGGGGAUGGCCAGAGUGCUCGGGUGCGCACGUGCCUGUGCGCCUCUGUGCCUCUUCGUCAGCGCGGUCGAGGAAGUGUCGCGGGGUGGAUGGACACCGUCUCUUCAGUGAGCAGCGAGAACACUAAAAAGUGGGGGGCAGGGGUGAACCAAGCGAAGCGUGUGCGUGUGUGUAGCUGACGAAUCCGGCGGAGGGUCACGGCGCGCCGCUUUUCUACUCGACCACCCUCCGUCUGCAGCUGCCACCAAUAUACACACGGACGGUCGCCCUCGCUGCUGUUCUGACGCGAGGAUGCUUCUCCACGAGGACAUGUUGGCGUUAUCAUCAGCGCCUCUCUCGCGCUCCGCCCACUAUCGUCUCCCUACUCUCUCUCUCCAUGGAUUCUCUGGUGACCGUCCACGCACAUAAUCGCACGUGCACGCGCCUGCCUAUGCGCACAUACAAACACACACGCAUCGGCCCACACGCCACCAUGUGGGUGCUAUCGCCGACGCACUUCUCCCUCCCCCCUCUCUCUCCCUCUAACGCUGCUCACCGACGCCAUGUGCGCCGCCUCGAUCGCCCAUGUCGACCACAACGAAAAACAAAG